AGCUUUGCACAUUGGCAGUAUCACAGCCAAUGAAGUUUAUCUGAGGUGCGAUUAUUGCCAAUCGAAAGCUUCUCCCAGUACCCUGCCAUGACGACUUGCAGUAUAGUUGACAUUGGCAAUCUUUUACGGUCUCUAUGGAGA
Molecule: small nuclear RNA, 141 nt
Filed under: Aotus nancymaae (Ma's night monkey)
Lineage: Eukaryota; Metazoa; Chordata; Mammalia; Primates; Aotidae
Description: U4 spliceosomal RNA (ENSANAG00000006877.1)
Rfam family: U4 spliceosomal RNA
About the family: U4 small nuclear RNA (U4 snRNA) is a component of the major U2-dependent spliceosome. The structure of U4 snRNA from yeast and human has been reported. U4 snRNA presents a k-turn RNA motif in the 5p-SL related to recognition of Snu13 protein.
Source: Rfam by way of RNAcentral